CGAACUUCAAAGCCACAAAAUAGAAGGCCUUUGUUUGAUGUUGACUGUUGAACUGCAUGUACUUCACCGUGCACAAAUACUUUGUUUCAACUUCAUUACAAGUAUUACUAUUCAUCGUGGCUGCACGUUUCUUCUCAGCUGUCCCUAUUUGGACGAUUACUUAAUAAUUGUAGGAAAACUGCACAAUGAGCUCAAUUACUGUGACCGUGCACCAGCCUAGUCCCAGGCUCUCUCUCUCUAUUCGCUGCUUUGAUAUAUUUAAAUAAGUCUUAAAAGUUUUAUGCCUGGGUGUGCUGUGCGGAACGCUUCAGUGAGAGAGCCUAGCAGAUUUCGGUAAAAUGGUCCCUGAUUUCAAAAAAGUGGUCCCUGGCCUGGUUACCAAGCAUAUCGCAUUUGUAAAUAGAAAAUGUUAUGGAAAUUUCCAUUGUGUUUAUAAUUAAGUCAUACACCCUUUUCCGCAUAAAUGGCUGCCGAUUAAAAAUUCUUUUAUGUGCAUAUAAAUUGGCCCAACUAGCCUCGUACUCAUGUUAAGAUUUCAAAGGAAUUUCUACCCAGAAACGAGGCUAGUUGAGCCAAUUUAUAUGCACAUAAAAGAAUUUUUAAUCGGCAGCCAUUUAUGAAAAGGGUGUAUUAGUUUUGCUCUAAUGCUGUCGGAACAAUGAAAUAGGCUACGUUUCGCUACCAUACAGUCAGAAUGGAAUAACGGGCUAAAUAUGACUCGUGUUUACUAAAAUAUAAAGCCAUAUUAAAUGCUAUCUAAAAGCUUGAAAAUUAUGCCGAGUCUCCGACCAAAAAUGUUUUGACAACACAGUCAUGUCAGGCGAAUAUUUCCAGUCUCCUCAGCUACUUAAACCUGUCAAGUAGAAAGCGUAGUUGUGUAUACCAGUAUGAUCUAGUGUUGAUCACAACUUGCGAGUAUAUCAUGAAUAACAUCAACGAUUAUACGACCAUUGCUCAGACUCAGUAUCGUAAAUUUGUAUAUAAUUUUUUUUGAUUGAGCACAUUUUUAAUACAGUUUGAAUUUGGUUAUGUAGACAUCAAACAUGAUCAACGAACAUUGUCGUGUUUACAAACUUAUUUGUAUAAACUGGGACUAGGCUGACCGUGCACAUAUAUUAACAUGCAUGCAUAAACUCUGACAAAAAAACAUGAUAUAACAUCAGCCUAGUCCCAGUCGUUCUGAAGCAAGCGCGAGAAAAAACGUGGAUGUAGUACGAGACUGGGAUCUAGGUGUGACGUCACC
This is a non-coding RNA of Paramuricea clavata, 1243 nucleotides long. The record is from the annotation of a GenBank genome assembly. NCBI's taxonomy places the organism in Eukaryota, Metazoa, Cnidaria, Anthozoa, Malacalcyonacea, Plexauridae.